RNAcentral lists this ribosomal RNA (433 nucleotides) under uncultured bacterium. RNAcentral's name for it is "partial 16S ribosomal RNA". It matches the Rfam family "Bacterial small subunit ribosomal RNA", at positions 29 to 507 of the family's 1533-position model. The record is from RNAcentral.
AACGAACGCUGGCGGCAUGCCUAACACAUGCAAGUCGAACGAGACCUUCGGGUCUAGUGGCGCACGGGUGCGUAACGCGUGGGAACCUGCCCUUAGGUUCGGAAUAACUCCCCGAAAGGGGUGCUAAUACCGGAUAAUGUCUUCGGACCAAAGAUUUAUCGCAUUUGGAUGGGCCCGCGUUGGAUUAGCUAGUUGGUAGGGUAAAAGCCUACCAAGGCGACGAUCCAUAGCUGGUCUGAGAGGAUGAUCAGCCACACUGGGACUGAGACACGGCCCAGACUCCUACGGGAUGCAGCAGUGGGGAAUAUAGGACAAUGGGCGAAAGCCUGAUCCAGCAAUGCCGGGUGAGUGAUGAAGGCCUUAGGGUUGUAAAGCUCUUUUACCCGGGAUGAUAAUGACAGUACCGGGAGAAUAAGCUCCGGCUAACUCCGUG